UACGUAGGGUGCGAGCGUUACUCGGAAUUACUGGGCGUAAAGCGUGCGCAGGCGGUUUUGUAAGCCAGAUGUGAAAGCCCCGGGCUUAACCUGGGAAUGGCAUUUGGGACUGCAAGGCUGGAGUGUGGCAGAGGAGACUGGAAUUCCUGGUGUAGCAGUGAAAUGCGUAGAUAUCAGGAGGAAUACCGAUGGCGAAGGCAGGUCUCUGGGCUAUAACUGACGCUCAUGCACGAAAGCGUGGGGAGCAAACAGG
This 253-nucleotide ribosomal RNA is filed under the name uncultured bacterium. RNAcentral's name for it is "partial 16S ribosomal RNA". It matches the Rfam family "Bacterial small subunit ribosomal RNA", at positions 524 to 776 of the family's 1533-position model. The record is from RNAcentral.